GCCAAUUUGGCUCAGUGGGUAGAGUGUCGGCCUGCAGGUCGAAGGGUCCCGGGUUCAAAUCCGGUCAAGGGCA
Molecule: transfer RNA, 73 nt
Filed under: Myotis davidii
Lineage: Eukaryota; Metazoa; Chordata; Mammalia; Chiroptera; Vespertilionidae
Rfam family: tRNA
About the family: Transfer RNA (tRNA) molecules are approximately 80 nucleotides in length.
Source: Rfam by way of RNAcentral